GCGGAUGUGGCGGAAUUGGUAGACGCGCACGGUUCAGAUCCGUGUGUCCGUAAGGACGUGGAGGUUCAAGUCCUCUCAUCCGCA
Molecule: transfer RNA, 84 nt
Filed under: Thermoleophilia bacterium
Lineage: Bacteria; Bacillati; Actinomycetota; Thermoleophilia
Also listed under: 2 other names
Description: tRNA-Leu
Rfam family: tRNA
About the family: Transfer RNA (tRNA) molecules are approximately 80 nucleotides in length.
Source: RNAcentral